UAAUACAGAGGUCUCGAGCGUUAGUCGGAGUCACUGGGCUUAAAGCGUACGUAGGCGGAUUUGCAGGCGUCGUGUGAAAUACCUCAGCUCAACUGAGGAACUGCACGGCGAACCGCAAGUCUUGAGACAGGUAGGGGCGGUCGGAACGAUAGGUGGAGUGGUGAAAUGCGUUGAUAUCUAUCGGAAUGCCGAAGGUGAAAACAGACCGCUGGGCCUGUUCUGACGCUGAGGUACGAAAGCGUGGGGAGCGAACGGGAUUAGAUACCCCGGUAGUCCACGCCGUAAACGAUGUGCACGUGAUCGAGGAGAUUUUGACAUCGCUCUCGGUCGAAGUAAAAACGAUGAGUGCACCGCCUGGGGAGUACGGUCGCAAGGCUA
RNAcentral lists this ribosomal RNA (378 nucleotides) under uncultured bacterium. RNAcentral's name for it is "bacterial SSU rRNA". It matches the Rfam family "Bacterial small subunit ribosomal RNA", at positions 521 to 896 of the family's 1533-position model. The record is from RNAcentral.